Molecule: ribosomal RNA, 553 nt
Filed under: uncultured bacterium
Lineage: Bacteria
Description: bacterial SSU rRNA
Rfam family: Bacterial small subunit ribosomal RNA
Source: RNAcentral
CAACGCGAAGAACCUUACCUGGGCUAGACAACGGUGGACCGCCCUAGAGAUAGGGUUUUCCCUUCGGGGACUGCCGGUUCAGGUGCUGCAUGGCUGUCGUCAGCUCGUGCCGUGAGGUGUUGGGUUAAGUCCGCAACGAGCGCAACCCUCGCUCUUAGUUGCCACCAUUGAGUUGGGCACUCUAAGGGGACUGCCGGCGUUAAGCCGGAGGAAGGCGGGGACGACGUCAAGUCAUCAUGGCCCUUAUGUCCAGGGCUACACACGUGCUACAAUGGGCGGUACAAAGGGCUGCAAACCCGCGAGGGGGAGCCAAUCCCAAAAAACCGCUCUCAGUUCGGAUUGGAGUCUGCAACCCGACUCCAUGAAGGCGGAAUCGCUAGUAAUCGCGGAUCAGCACGCCGCGGUGAAUACGUUCCCGGGCCUUGUACACACCGCCCGUCACACCAUGGGAGCCAGCUGUACCGGAAGCCGGUGCGCUAACCCGCAAGGGAAGCAGCCGCCUAUGGUAUGACUGGUGACUGGGGUGAAGUCGUAACAAGGUAAGCGUAGAUGA